This is a long non-coding RNA of Mya arenaria, 381 nucleotides long. RefSeq lists it as uncharacterized. The transcript has 2 exons. Lineage: Eukaryota; Metazoa; Mollusca; Bivalvia; Myida; Myidae. The record is from RefSeq and is a predicted model, not a curated record.
CAGAGAAAAGCUGGUCCAGGAUCCUGCAGACACUGUACCAGGAGUAGAAACACAGACCGAAUGUCCAUGGACGUCACCUUUGGAUGUUUGCACUUUAUACCGCUCAAAAUGCUUCCCUAAAAGAACAGUUGUCACAAAAAGAAGUCCAAGUUGAAGAAUAACAGUCUGCACUUUCAUCAAAGUGUUGUGAAAUUCAGAUUUUAAAGCAACUGGUGGGAAUUUAAACAAACUGUAAAUGUCGAUAUAGUUCUGCUCAAAGAAGCAAUAGUUAAAAUUUGUUUAAAUAUUAUACAGGAAUCAUAUGAUUUUAUUUCUGCUUCUUUGAUAUAAUUGAAUAACUGUUAGUUUAUUCAUGUUUGGAAUAAAGCAUUGUAAAGUGAA